This 544-nucleotide ribosomal RNA is filed under the name uncultured bacterium. Its description in RNAcentral is "partial 16S ribosomal RNA". It matches the Rfam family "Bacterial small subunit ribosomal RNA", at positions 355 to 890 of the family's 1533-position model. The record is from RNAcentral.
UAGGGAAUCUUCGGCAAUGGACGAAAGUCUGACCGAGCAACGCCGCGUGAGUGAAGAAGGUUUUCGGAUCGUAAAACUCUGUUGGUAGAGAAGAACGUUGGUGAGAGUGGAAAGCUCAUCAAGUGACGGUAACUACCCAGAAAGGGACGGCUAACUACGUGCCAGCAGCCGCGGUAAUACGUAGGUCCCGAGCGUUGUCCGGAUUUAUUGGGCGUAAAGCGAGCGCAGGUGGUUUAUUAAGCCUGGUGUAAAAGGCAGUGGCUCAACCAUUGUAUGCAUUGGAAACUGGUAGACUUGAGUGCAGGAGAGGAGAGUGGAAUUCCAUGUGUAGCGGUGAAAUGCGUAGAUAUAUGGAGGAACACCGGUGGCGAAAGCGGCUCUCUGGCCUGUAACUGACACUGAGGCUCGAAAGCGUGGGGAGCAAACAGGAUUAGAUACCCUGGUAGUCCACGCCGUAAACGAUGAGUGCUAGAUGUAGGGAGCUAUAAGUUCUCUGUAUCGCAGCUAACGCAAGUAAGCACUCCGCCUGGGGAGUACGACCGCA